This 253-nucleotide ribosomal RNA is filed under the name uncultured bacterium. RNAcentral's name for it is "partial 16S ribosomal RNA". It matches the Rfam family "Bacterial small subunit ribosomal RNA", at positions 524 to 776 of the family's 1533-position model. The record is from RNAcentral.
UACGUAGGGUGCGCGCGUUAAUCGGAAUUACUGGGCGUAAAGCGUGCGCAGGCGGUUCGUUAAGUUCGAUGUGAAAGCCCCGGGCUCAACCUGGGAACUGCAUUGGAAACUGGCGAGCUUGAAUGCGGCAGAGGGGGGUGGAAUUCCGCGUGUAGCAGUGAAAUGCGUAGAGAUGCGGAGGAACACCGAUGGCGAAGGCAGCCCCCUGGGCCGACAUUGACGCUCAGGCACGAAAGCGUGGGGAGCAAACAGG